RNAcentral lists this ribosomal RNA (370 nucleotides) under uncultured Prevotella sp. Its description in RNAcentral is "bacterial SSU rRNA". It matches the Rfam family "Bacterial small subunit ribosomal RNA", at positions 428 to 796 of the family's 1533-position model. The record is from RNAcentral. Lineage: Bacteria; Pseudomonadati; Bacteroidota; Bacteroidia; Bacteroidales; Prevotellaceae.
AACUGCUUUUGUAUGGGGAUAAAGUUAGGGACGUGUCCCUAUUUGCAGGUACCAUACGAAUAAGGACCGGCUAAUUCCGUGCCAGCAGCCGCGGUAAUACGGAAGGUCCAGGCGUUAUCCGGAUUUAUUGGGUUUAAAGGGAGCGUAGGCUGGAGAUUAAGUGUGUUGUGAAAUGUAGACGCUCAACGUCUGAAUUGCAGCGCAUACUGGUUUCCUUGAGUACGCACAACGUUGGCGGAAUUCGUCGUGUAGCGGUGAAAUGCUUAGAUAUGACGAAGAACUCCGAUUGCGAAGGCAGCUGACGGGAGCGCAACUGACGCUUAAGCUCGAAGGUGCGGGUAUCAAACAGGAUUAGAUACCCUGGUAGUCC